AACGCGAAGAACCUUACCUACUCUUGACAUCCAGAGAACUUAGCAGAGAUGCUUUGGUGCCUUCGGGAACUCUGAGACAGGUGCUGCAUGGCUGUCGUCAGCUCGUGUUGUGAAAUGUUGGGUUAAGUCCCGUAACGAGCGCAACCCUUAUCCUUUGUUGCCAGCGGUCCGGCCGGGAACUCAAAGGAGACUGCCAGUGAUAAACUGGAGGAAGGUGGGGAUGACGUCAAGUCAUCAUGGCCCUUACGAGUAGGGCUACACACGUGCUACAAUGGCAUAUACAAAGAGAAGCGACCUCGCGAGAGCAAGCGGACCUCAUAAAGUAUGUCGUAGUCCGGAUUGGAGUCUGCAACUCGACUCCAUGAAGUCGGAAUCGCUAGUAAUCGUGGAUCAGAAUGCCACGGUGAAUACGUUCCCGGGUCUUGUACACACCG
Molecule: ribosomal RNA, 434 nt
Filed under: uncultured bacterium
Lineage: Bacteria
Description: bacterial SSU rRNA
Rfam family: Bacterial small subunit ribosomal RNA
Source: RNAcentral